UAUAACCCCAAAUAUAAUAAAAAAAUGCAUGUUUUUCCGGCAUCUAAUUAUCAGAGGGCGAAUAAUCUUUUAAUGGAUGACCUAACUCUUCGGUUUGUGGCACAAAUCAACGAUAAUUUGAAAUCGAAACCAAAUAGAAGUGUCUCCUUUACGGCAAUAACAAAAUAGUUUUCAAGUCACUGGAGAAUGCUCUGAUACAGAACCAGAAGAACAAUCUGCAACUCCAAGGACAAAGCCAAGAGAUGGAAGCCUAAACACCUUGAAAAAGAUUUUUGCAGCACCUCUAAGAUUGUGAAGUGCAGGUUAAAAGUCACCUAUUCUGACACCAGU
Ctenocephalides felis (cat flea) is the source of this 330-nucleotide long non-coding RNA. RefSeq lists it as uncharacterized. Lineage: Eukaryota; Metazoa; Arthropoda; Insecta; Siphonaptera; Pulicidae. The transcript is spliced from 3 exons. The record is from RefSeq and is a predicted model, not a curated record.